GUAAAGCACUUUCAGUAGGGAGGAAGGUAGUGUAGUUAACACCUGCAUUAUUUGACGUUACCUACAGAAGAAGCACCGGCUAACUCCGUGCCAGCAGCCGCGGUAAUACGGAGGGUGCGAGCGUUAAUCGGAAUUACUGGGCGUAAAGCGCAUGCAGGCGGCCGUGUUAAGUCAGAUGUAGAAAGGCCCGGGGACCGUUAACCUACGGUAAGUUGCUAUUUAGUAAACGUGGCGAGGCUAGAGUCUUGUAGAGGGGGGUAGGAAUUUCAGGUGUAGCGGUGAAAUGCGUAGAGAUCUGAAGGAAUACCAGUGGCGAAGGCGGCCCCCUGGACAAAGACUGACGCUCAGAUGCGAAAGCGUGGGGAGCAAACAGGAUUAGAUACCCUGGUAG
This 391-nucleotide ribosomal RNA is filed under the name uncultured bacterium. RNAcentral's name for it is "bacterial SSU rRNA". It matches the Rfam family "Bacterial small subunit ribosomal RNA", at positions 425 to 793 of the family's 1533-position model. The record is from RNAcentral.